Molecule: ribosomal RNA, 711 nt
Filed under: uncultured bacterium
Lineage: Bacteria
Description: bacterial SSU rRNA
Rfam family: Bacterial small subunit ribosomal RNA
Source: RNAcentral
UAACGCGUGGAUAACCUGCCGUAUGCAGGGGGAUACCAACUGGAAACAGUUGCUAAUACCGCAUAAGCGCACGGUGUCGCAUGACACAGUGUGGAAAGGUUUAACGGCAUACGAUGGAUCCGCGUCCGAUUAGCCAGUUGGCGGGGCAACGGCCCACCAAAGCAACGAUCGGUAGCCGGCCUGAGAGGGCGGACGGCCACAUUGGGACUGAGACACGGCCCAAACUCCUACGGGAGGCAGCAGUGGGGAAUAUUGCACAAUGGGGGAAACCCUGAUGCAGCGACGCCGCGUGAGUGAAGAAGUAUUUCGGUAUGUAAAGCUCUAUCAGCAGGGAAGAAAGGUGCCCCUUGGGCGCCUGGACGGUACCUGACUAAGAAGCCCCGGCUAACUACGUGCCAGCAGCCGCGGUAAUACGUAGGGGGCAAGCGUUAUCCGGAUUUACUGGGUGUAAAGGGAGCGUAGACGGCAGAGCAAGUCCGGAGUGAAAGCCCGGGGCCCAACCCCGGGACUGCUCUGGAAACUGUUAAGCUGGAGUGCGGGAGGGGCAGGCGGAAUUCCUGGUGUAGCGGUGAAAUGCGUAGAUAUCAGGAGGGACACCGGCGGCGAAGGCGGCCUGCUGGACCGUGACUGACGUUGAGGCUCGAAAGCGUGGGGAGCAAACAGGAUUAGAUACCCUGGUAGUCCACGCCGUAAACGAUGACUACUAGGUGU